Molecule: long non-coding RNA, 859 nt
Filed under: Rattus norvegicus (Norway rat)
Lineage: Eukaryota; Metazoa; Chordata; Mammalia; Rodentia; Muridae
Description: long non-coding RNA NONRATT023655
Source: RNAcentral
AUCGCCUACAUCGCUUCCUAGAAAGCUUCCCAGCCCGGACCUCUGCAGCCACGGCUGCCUUUCCGCCAACCCCUCGAGCUACGGAGGCUCACCAAGCUUGGACCGGGACAACCUCCUCCCAGGAGGCCGGGAUGGGGUAGGGUCGGGUGGAGUUGCUCCAGCCCAGACCACCCUCAGCGCCCCAGUAUUCCCAGCCUGGACUGGCAGGGAGGUUGCAGGAGGCACACGGGGCCCUCCAGCAGGAGCUCAGCGCUAAGAUCUCCUCGCGGGCCCUCCUGACCCUUGGAUCCUGCGCCAGUCGUUCGCUCACCGAGUGACUUCAUGUAGUCAUCAAAAUUCUUGCUGUCCACUAGCUUCCAGAAGAGGCGCGGAGGCUCGAAUGGGAAUGACGCGGUCACCAUAAGUAGAAAAGAUUUGGAGCCCGGACAGAGAACGUGGUCUAGUGGCCCUUGAGCCUUCUUGCUUCAUCCAGACAAGUGGAGAAGAGUUGCCUUGGACACCGCCGAGGCUGAGCUGCCCAGCGCCUCACCUGCUCUGGGAGAACAUGACCUUGCUUCCCUCAUGCUAGCCCCACACGUGCUUGCCCCUCCCUGCGGAAUGUCUCCUGCCUGCGCCUCUCUCCGCAGUCCCACUCCCCACCGCUGCCUGAAAGCGCUCCAGGCUUUUCUGACCUCUGAGCUAGCGCCAGGGUCGUUCUUCACUCCGCGUAGAAAGUUUGUCUAUUCAGAUAGUUCUUCUGGCCUCGGCCACCUUAACUGCCGGAAAGCCGCGACCCUUUUCUGGAGUCAGUUUUAUCUCUGACUUCUGCCACUAGACUGUUUGACACCUUAAAGCACUUUAUUAAAUAAGACCCACUUCA